Molecule: ribosomal RNA, 431 nt
Filed under: uncultured bacterium
Lineage: Bacteria
Description: partial 16S ribosomal RNA
Rfam family: Bacterial small subunit ribosomal RNA
Source: RNAcentral
AACGAACGCUGGCGGCAGGCCUAACACAUGCAAGUCGAGCGCCCCGCAAGGGGAGCGGCGGUCGGGUGAGUAACGAGUGGGAAUAUGCCCUUUGCUACGGCAUAGUCUCGGGAAACGGGGGGUAAUACCGUAUACGCCUUAUGGGGGAACGAUUUAUCGCCGAAGGAUUAGCCCGCGUUGGCUUCGGUCGUUGGUGGGGUAAUGGCCUACCAAGCCGACGAUCCAUAGAUGGUUUGAGAGGAUGAGCAGCCACACUGGGCCUGGGACACGGCCCAGACUCCUACGGGAGGCAGCAGUGGGGAAUCUUAGACAAUCGGGGCAACCCUGAUCGAGCCAGGCCUCGUGAGUGAUGAUGGCCGGAGAGUUGUAAAGCUCGUUCAGCUGGGAAGAUAAUGACGGUACCAGCAGAAUAAGCCCCGGCUAACUCCGUG